RNAcentral lists this unclassified non-coding RNA (357 nucleotides) under uncultured fungus. Its description in RNAcentral is "partial contains small subunit ribosomal RNA, internal transcribed spacer 1, and 5.8S ribosomal RNA". The stretch from base 1 to 73 matches the Rfam family "Eukaryotic small subunit ribosomal RNA", at positions 1759 to 1831 of the family's 1831-position model. Lineage: Eukaryota; Fungi. The record is from RNAcentral.
ACAAACUUGGUCAUUUAGAGGAAGUAAAAGUCGUAACAAGGUUUCCGUAGGUGAACCUGCGGAAGGAUCAUUAUUGAAUAACUUUGGCGUGGUUGUAGCUGGCCCUCUCGGGGGCAUGUGCUCGCCCGUCAUCUUUAUAUUUCCACCUGUGCACUUUUUGUAGAUCAUUGUUUUUGGAAGCUGGAUUGAAGUCAGAGAUUACUCUCUGAUGAAUUGAAGGCUUUCUCAAUGAUGGUCUACGUUUUCAUAUACUCCAAUGAAUGUAACAGAAUGUAUCUAUAUGGCCUUGUGCCUAUAAAACAAUAUACAACUUUCAGCAACGGAUCUCUUGGCUCUCGCAUCGAUGAAGAACGCAGC